AGUAAAAAGCAAAACUAUAGCGAUGUAGUGACGCAAAACUAAAGGGUCUUAAAUCGUCUCGUUGAUUAAGAUAGCCAGUUGCC
This 83-nucleotide non-coding RNA is filed under the name pig gut metagenome. RNAcentral describes it as "Cyclic di-GMP-I riboswitch". It matches the Rfam family "c-di-GMP-I riboswitch aptamer". Rfam says of the family: GEMM was predicted in a large-scale screen for bacterial structured RNA regulatory elements. Genes associated with GEMM are involved in a diverse array of functions, including chemotaxis regulation, signal transduction, secretion and chitin. The record is from RNAcentral.